RNAcentral lists this long non-coding RNA (200 nucleotides) under Gossypium raimondii (Peruvian cotton). Its description in RNAcentral is "long non-coding RNA (GRAI_LNC000335)". Lineage: Eukaryota; Viridiplantae; Streptophyta; Magnoliopsida; Malvales; Malvaceae. The record is from RNAcentral.
UAUCCUGAUGGACUUCAUCAGACACCACCGCGGUGACUAGACACAGACUCACUUUACAGAAUUUUCAUGCAUUAACAAAAUUUAAGCCCAAUGUUUUAAUUCAUUAAUAUACACCCAACAUAACAGACUCUCAUAACAUACAUUCCAGACACACAUAUACAACCAUACUUCAACGCUUCAAUACUCAUACACUAGUCAUC